Molecule: transfer RNA, 70 nt
Filed under: Panthera tigris (tiger)
Lineage: Eukaryota; Metazoa; Chordata; Mammalia; Carnivora; Felidae
Also listed under: 5 other names
Description: tRNA-Thr
Source: RNAcentral
GUCUUCGUAGUAUAUAAAUUACUUUGGUCUUGUAAACCAAAAAAGGAGAAUAUGUACUCUCCCUAAGACU